CACUCACAAGGCGGAAGUGACCUCUGCCAACUUCGAAAACAACUGAAAUAAAUGGAAACCUUUUUGGUACCUUUUUGGUUCCAGGCAACAGGGCAGGUGCUUGAGCCUAGCAUCUAUGUGUGCACAUGUCUAACUUAAUACCUGUUUGAAGAGUUACAUGUCCCAAGUUUUGUUGUUGUUUUUUGUUUGAGUUAGCUAGCGUUGGUUUAGGGUUAUCAAACCGAUGUCUUCCCAAAGCUUUGCUAGCGUAGUGAGAUCAACCUGAAAGAUUGAGACUCUCCAAAGCUGGUCCAACAAGACCUUCGACCACCGUGAGCCGGUUCACUGCCAUACUCAGCCACUGGAGGUAGACCAACUGAGAAAAGAAAAGGCCUUGCCUUGAGCCAAAGAAGCUGUGUGAGGGAUGACAGAGGCGAAAGGUCAGAAAUGCGGUUGUUGGACACGUCCAUGAACCGAAGGUGAAUGUAAUUGCUGAUCGCAG
Molecule: long non-coding RNA, 481 nt
Organism: Phyllopteryx taeniolatus (common seadragon)
Lineage: Eukaryota; Metazoa; Chordata; Actinopteri; Syngnathiformes; Syngnathidae
Exons: 3
Source: RefSeq, a predicted model, not a curated record